RNAcentral lists this ribosomal RNA (207 nucleotides) under uncultured bacterium. RNAcentral's name for it is "partial 16S ribosomal RNA". It matches the Rfam family "Bacterial small subunit ribosomal RNA", at positions 568 to 774 of the family's 1533-position model. The record is from RNAcentral.
UGCGUAGGUGGCGCCGUAAGUCAGGUGUGAAAUUUCGGAGCUUAACUCCGAAACUGCAUUUGAUACUGCGGUGCUUGAGGACUGGAGAGGAGACUGGAAUUCAUGGUGUAGCAGUGAAAUGCGUAGAGAUCAUGAGGAAGACCAGUGGCGAAGGCGGGUCUCUGGACAGUUCCUGACACUGAGACACGAAGGCCAGGGGAGCAAACG